UAACGAUCUCGGCAACGGAUAUUGGUGUGAAUUGCAGAAUCCCGUGAACAUCGAGUCUUUGAACGCAAGUUGCGCCCGAAGCCAUUAGGUCGAGGGCACGUCUGCCUGGGCGUCUCACA
This 119-nucleotide ribosomal RNA is filed under the name Stewartia pteropetiolata. Its description in RNAcentral is "5.8S ribosomal RNA". It matches the Rfam family "5.8S ribosomal RNA", at positions 37 to 154 of the family's 154-position model. Rfam says of the family: 5.8S ribosomal RNA (5.8S rRNA) is a component of the large subunit of the eukaryotic ribosome. It is transcribed by RNA polymerase I as part of the 45S precursor that also contains 18S and 28S rRNA. Lineage: Eukaryota; Viridiplantae; Streptophyta; Magnoliopsida; Ericales; Theaceae. The record is from RNAcentral.